This 467-nucleotide ribosomal RNA is filed under the name uncultured bacterium. Its description in RNAcentral is "partial 16S ribosomal RNA". It matches the Rfam family "Bacterial small subunit ribosomal RNA", at positions 28 to 507 of the family's 1533-position model. The record is from RNAcentral.
GAUGAACGCUGGCGGCGUGCUUAACACAUGCAAGUCGAACGGAAAGGCCCAAGCUUGCUUGGGUACUCGAGUGGCGAACGGGUGAGUAACACGUGGGUGAUCUGCCCUGCACUUCGGGAUAAGCCUGGGAAACUGGGUCUAAUACCGGAUAGGACCACUUCUUGGAUGUUGUGGUGGAAAGUUUUUUCGGUGUGGGAUGAGCUCGCGGCCUAUCAGCUUGUUGGUGGGGUAAUGGCCUACCAAGGCGUCGACGGGUAGCCGGCCUGAGAGGGUGUACGGCCACAUUGGGACUGAGAUACGGCCCAGACGCCUACGGGAGGCAGCAGUGGGGAAGAUUGCACAAUGGGCGCAAGCCUGAUGCAGCGACGCCGCGUGGGGGAUGACGGCCUUCGGGUUGUAAACUCCUUUCGCUAGGGACGAAGCGUUUUGUGACGGUACCUGGAGAAGAAGCACCGGCUAACUACGUG